This 253-nucleotide ribosomal RNA is filed under the name uncultured bacterium. Its description in RNAcentral is "partial 16S ribosomal RNA". It matches the Rfam family "Bacterial small subunit ribosomal RNA", at positions 524 to 776 of the family's 1533-position model. The record is from RNAcentral.
UACAGAGGUCUCAAGCGUUGUUCGGAUUCAUUGGGCGUAAAGGGUGCGUAGGCGGCGCGGUAAGUCGGGUGUGAAAUCUUGGAGCUUAACUCCGAAACUGCAUUCGAUACUGCCGUGCUUGAGGACUGGAGAGGAGACUGGAAUUUACGGUGUAGCGGUGAAAUGCGUAGAUAUCGUAAGGAAGACCAGUGGCGAAGGCGGGUCUCUGGGCCAUUACUGACGCUGAGGAGCGAAAGCGUGGGGAGCGAACAGG